RNAcentral lists this ribosomal RNA (497 nucleotides) under uncultured bacterium. Its description in RNAcentral is "bacterial SSU rRNA". It matches the Rfam family "Bacterial small subunit ribosomal RNA", at positions 8 to 523 of the family's 1533-position model. The record is from RNAcentral.
AGAGUUUGAUCCUGGCUCAGAUUGAACGCUGGCGGCGUGCCUAACACAUGCAAGUCGAACGAUGAUGGAGGAGCUUGCUCUUCCUGAUUAGUGGCGCACGGGUGAGUAACGCAUAGGUAAUGUGCCCCUUAGUUCGGGAUAGCCACUGGAAACGGUGAUUAAUACCGGAUACUCCUUCUCAUUAUAAGAUGAGUCGGGAAAGUUUUUCGCUAAGGGAUCAGCCUAUGUCCUAUCAGCUAGUUGGUGAGGUAAUGGCUCACCAAGGCAAUGACGGGUAUCUGGUUUGAGAGGAUGAUCAGACACACUGGAACAGAGACACGGUCCAGACUCCUACGGGAGGCAGCAGUGAGGAAUAUUGCACAAUGGAGGAAACUCUGAUGCAGCAACGCCGCGUGGAGGAUGACGCAUUUCGGUGUGUAAACUCCUUUUAAGAGGGAAGAUUAUGACGGUACCUCUUGAAUAAGCACCGGCUAACUCCGUGCCAGCAGCCGCGGUAA